Molecule: long non-coding RNA, 4306 nt
Filed under: Brassica napus (rape)
Lineage: Eukaryota; Viridiplantae; Streptophyta; Magnoliopsida; Brassicales; Brassicaceae
Description: long non-coding RNA (BNAP_LNC006461)
Source: RNAcentral
UGGUAGAGGUUUAACGGACUCUGCCAUAAUUUCUUUCUUAGGUGGCUCAGCUUCUUUCUCAAUUUUGCAUUUCUCUUGCCGAGGUGAGACAUCAGACAAAUCUUGUUUAACUGCUUCAAUGACAGGCCUUUGCUUGGGAAUAUUUUCAGCAAUUCCAAUUUUCGUCUCUUUGAAACCGGGCCGUGCCUGGACAGAAGCUUCAGAAACCUCAGCUUUCACUUCAGAAUACCUAGAAGGUGCACGUACAUCACUCUGCCUAUGAUCCAUUCUUUCAGCGUACUGAGACGAUUGUGCUUCUGUUAUGGAAACAACUGAGCUCUUACAACUUUCCGUCUCAAUGUCCACGGGUUGAGAAGGCUGUUCCACCUUCAAUCGUUUUAAUGAAGGUUGCAAAUGCUUCGAAAUAUCAGCAACAGGCGGAGCACAAGAUGUUGCACCAGUAGAGGUCUGUACUGCAUCAUUGGAUAUUCCAGCUUCAUUCACUGACCUUGCUGCACCACUUUCAGUUCUUAAACGAGCUAGCCGUGCAUUUGCCUGUUGCUGUAAGAAGGCCUUCACAGGAAUACAGACAGGACAGUUAGAUUCCUUACAACUUCGAUGGUGAUUAAUCAAUGUCUUCGUGGGUCGGCAACGCGGGUAUGAACAUUGAGGUGCAUCACAACUGUCCAUGUGCUUCCAGAGCUUCUGUACCGUAACGCAAUUCCGGUCAGGACACUUGCCUUCAGGCGCUUUGCAGUUGCGAGCAUGGCGUAGAAACAGGAGCCAUUUCUGUUGAUUUCUGAAUCUCGGAUCUUGAUUCCCAUUUCCAUAUCUACAAGAGGUAUCUACAGGGUUUUGAGGAUUAGGAGAUUCUGAUGUAGUGGAUAUAUGACUUUGAACUAUAGACCCUCCAGACAUAUUAUUGGGCUGAGCUUCGUCCGUUCCUGACAUUCUCUGACGGAAAUCAUUCUGAAUGUGCAGUUGGUUCGACAUACUAUUAGACAUUUGAGUAUGUUCCUGUGACUGAGAUUGCCACUGCCCAGGCAGACCAGAUUCUGAUUUCACUCCAACAGAAAGGUUGCUAAAACUGUUAAUAGAGUCUGAAGCCAUACUCUGCGGGUGCAACAUCUGCUGUAUCUGUUGGCUAUUUUGGGGAGCUGAUGUACACAUAUCACUCUGACUUGUGGCAGGGAGAAUCUGAGAACCUGCAUGACGGUCAUCUGCAUUGUUCUGGUAUUGAUUCUGAAACUGAGAAAGCUGGAAUUGCUCAGGAGUCUGGGAGUGGAUAGACUCGCUAGGGUUUUCGAUUCCAGGUUCGUGUUUAACGUGUGUACCCAUGUCAGAUGCCACAUGAUUUUGCCCAAAAGCAUCAUGACUUAUAAAUCUCUGUUGCUGCUGGCUCUGCUGCUUCAACUGCCGUUGACGAAGAAACUGCUGCUGUUGGUGUGUCGUACUGGUAGUGGUUCCCUUGACAAAGACUUAGGAACGCUUGCCUAGUAUCGAAGAACUCGCUUUCGAGUAUCUCAUCCUUGUCCCUUGUAUCUGCAGGAAUGUCCGUAAUCUCAACCUGCAAAAUCAAUACCCCGCAAAUAUUUAUAAAACUGACCGCAGACAAAAGGUGAAGGACACUAUCCUCAACAAGCGAAUGCAACUCACAGGAUAUAACGCAUGCUUAUCCUUAAAAUUAACAGGAUGCCUUUCCCUGUCUUCACGCCGCUCUUCAGCCUCAUAACACCUAAAGAGGAGAAUAACAUUUAUUAAUAUUUAUUCUUAGUGCGCAGAAGAAGGGAGAAAGGAAGAGUUCUUACUUGUCACAAAUCUGAAAGUGUUUGCACUGACUACAGCGCCAACGAUUUCCAGAUACCAUCAGCAUACAGCAAUGUGUGCAAGAAGGUUGCAAGUGGACCAUGAUAAAGUCCUCCUUCAUUGGAUGAAUGGUCUCACCAAGCUGGAAACAAAGGUGAAUAUAAAUUAACAAGAAGAACAAAAAAAAAAUAGUAAAAUGGAUAGAAAGUAAAAAGAUCACUUUAUGCAUUAGCAGCAGAUCCUUGGAUGCAUUCCCAGACAGAUCAGUCUGCCCAGAAGCCUUAAGAGCCCUUUUUGUGAUUUUUUGCUUGAGCAUUCCUUUCUUAUUUCCCUUUCUGCCGUCUUCUUCUUGACUCAUCUGGAAUAUAAGAUCCUCUGCUGCACCUGGCCAGUAGUCACCAUCGAAAUACGGGAGCCUAGCUGCAGUAACCUUAGCUCUACAUUCCCCAGUUUGCAUAAAGAAAUGAUCAUAUAGAUUAAUAGUUUCCGCCACAAUGCCCUCCUUUGAAGCUUUUUUCAACAUUGCUAAGUACCUGAAAUUAACAACAUGAGAAUUUGGAUUAUGUAAACCACUAUUUCAUACAAAAACUAGUUUUAUUCUCAAAAACUGACCACUCUCGUAGUUUAUCAGAUUUUGGCGUCUUCUGAAUUUCUGGAUGACAAUAUAAGAUAUAGUCCUCGCCCUUGAGCGGCGGACAAGCCCAUAUGUAGCAGCUCGUGAAACCACGCAGCUUGCAGUAUUCUAGGUAACCGAUCUAAACACAGGAUCAAAUUAUACCCUUAAUCCUCCAUACAGUUUAGAAAGAAAGAAAAAACUUAGAUAUUAGCUGAUAACCAAGGUUUUGAGAAGACCAGGACUUACCAGAAUUUCGUGGUAAACGAAAGUGCGCAGAGCCUCUCCGUUAUAAGAUCUAACCUCGGGUCUAAAGUACUUUACAGAAUCCAAAUAAGAGAGAUAAACUCGGCGUUGAUUAGGAAAUGCGCAUUCAGAACCAAAUUCUUGGACGUACAUCCCAAAUAAGCAUACUUCUACACCUUCAAUCUUUUGGAACAACAGAACCACCUUGCCCAAUAAAAUGGUGUGUGAGAAUGGGUGAAGGAUACUUCAAGAGAGGAUCAAAAAAGAAAUGCAUAAAUUCACAAUGAGCUUUGAUCAUUCUUACCUUGGACUUGUAUGCAAACUCUGUUGGGUAGCUGUCUUCCCGAAAAAUAUCAAGAAACCGGGGUUUGACUUCCAGCUUCUUGUCAACAGAUGAAACAACUCUAAUCACAAGGGACUCGGCAGUAGGAACCUGCCAGUAUCAAUUCAAAGAAAAAACAAUGUCAGCUUCAAUCUAUUGUUUCCAACCAGUAAUAAAAGUAUAACAAAUAGAAAAAAUGAGCUCGCAAAUGCAAACAACACAAGAAAGACAUAAAACCUUAACAAACUCCACCAGUAGAUUACCUCAUCAAAGCUUUUUCCUUGAGCCCUGGCUCUCUCUGUUCUUUCCUGCUUGAGCUUCUUAAACAACCGCUGCUCUAUAUGGUCACUGAGAAUUGUUCUCGGUAGGUCUUUAGCUCCAAGAACAGCACUCUGAGGUAAGGGUUUCCUCUUACUUUGUUCCACUUCUGCUAUAUAGCAAUAAGGGCAGGUAUACUCAGCUUGCCCUCCGUCAUUCCUUCGCCCAUUAAAUAAAGCACAGAUCUGAUGCUGCCAAGCCUCACAUUUAUCACAUUGGACCCACUGCAGAGGUAGAAACAGAUUACAGAAUGCACGAAAAAAUCAGGAGACAAACACAAAACAAAACUACAAAGUGGAGAGUUGUUUACCCAUUCUUCAGUCUCUUCAUCAUUUUUCUUUUUCUCGAGUCUUGCCUUAGGCAUAGGCGUCCCUUCAGCUACUAUAGUGUCCCCACGGGACUCAUUAUAACACGGAAUACAAAAGUAGUGACGAGUGUCACCAGCUCCUACAGUGUAAUACAUCGCAUUUCUCUUGAUGCGGGCACCACAAGGGGUACAAUAAAUAGGCGGUGGCUCAAAGGUAAGCUUCUCCACUGCACACAGUUGGCAGGAGUUCUCACUCAUUGAAUGCUCCAUAGCCUGAUUCUUUUCAGCUUUGGCUUUACUCUGCAACCACAUAAAAGAAACCAGAUUAAUGUUAAGUACAUAUAAGAAGGGAAACUACUCAUCAAUCAAGCUCUUGUGUGAACAUCAUAAGCUACCAAAAAUCACAAACCUGGCCAACCCACUGACGAAGACCCCGGAUAUGUUCUCUUACUUGCUCAGGAGUGAACAACUCAGUUAACGAAACACCCUUUAUCUCUGCUUUUCCAGAUUUUGGUAGAGGUUUAACGGACUCUGCCAUAAUUUCUUUCUUAGGUGGCUCAGCUUCUUUCUCAAUUUUGCAUUUCUCUUGCCGAGGUGAGACAUCAGACAAAUCUUGUUUAACUGCUUCAAUGACAGGCCUUUGCUUGGGAAUAUUUUCAGCAAUUCCAAUUUUCGUCUCUUUGAAACCGGGCCGUGCCUGGACAGAAGCUUCAGA